Molecule: RNA transcript, 1729 nt
Organism: Zea mays
Lineage: Eukaryota; Viridiplantae; Streptophyta; Magnoliopsida; Poales; Poaceae
Gene name: succinate dehydrogenase assembly factor 1, mitochondrial
Exons: 5
Source: RefSeq, a predicted model, not a curated record
CCCAGCCAUCUCCCUGGUGGCCGACCUCGCCCCUGCCCCAGCCACAGCUCCCCCUUCGGCCCUGCUGCUGCAAGCACUCAGCCUCUCCCAUGGCACACGCCCCAUCUGCAACACCGUCGACCCCCGACGAGAAAUCCCAUGAUUUGGGGGAAGACGAAGUCCAAGCACAACCCCUGCCAAUCGCUCGAUGAAAAAUCUAAACCAAAACCCUCAGCGUUUUCAUGGGUUCCGGUGGGAUUUUAUGUUGGUAAGGUAAUUUGUGUCCUAAUUAGUUCACUCAGUUAUUGAGUUGAAGAGAUUGUUAGCUGUAUGAGUUGAACCAGUUAUUGUAUAUGAAUUGUACGAUAUCAAGGUAGUUCUAAUGUUCUUUUAACAUCUUGCUAAUAAGGUGUUAGAGUAUUCUAAAUGCCAAACAUAGGAUAAUUUUACAAGCCAAAUAGAAGUUAAAUUGAAGGUAUUGCUGUUUAGGGCUGUAGGUAUAGUUUUAGUUAUGCAGCUAGUCCAAUAAAGUAGAUCAUGUUUUCUGUAGAAGCGUUAUAUAUAAAAUUUGUAGAUAAUCUCUUUAUAUUACUUGUGUAAAAAUUUCAUGACCAUAGGUGUAGUAGUUUAGGAGUUAUGAUUUUUCCAAGUCCAGUCUCAGAAUCUGUCCAAAUUCUAUACAGGUUUCGAAAAUUGGAUUGUUUGGCUAAGCUAAACUGAGAAUCAGCCCUUAGUAAUUGUAGAAUAAUUGUAGUACUUUUCUUAAGCUUUCCAACAAAUUUUGGAGCACCCUUUUUGGUGGUCUAGAGAUCAAGUUACAGCUGUUUGAACUAUAGAGUCUGAAUCUGUCCAAAUCUGGACAGCGAAGUCUGUUUGUAGUAACUGACUUUGAUAUGUAUUGAAUUAACCUGAGAUGUUUAUAAAUGAAUUGUAGACAAUUCUAUUAACUUUCUAAAAAGUCUAGGAUCACCUGAUUUGGAUUUCGGAAACUCCAGUUCUGGACUUUUGAAGUAGUUAGUCGAAUUCUGUCCAAAUCUGGACAGAAUUUAUGUUUAGCGCUGUUUGACCUUUCUAAAGGUCGAAUCUUGUUGUGAUGGUAAUACAAAAGUUAUAGAGGACUUUAUAAGCUUUCCAAAAAGUUCUAGUUUACUAUUUUUGGAUACAUAUUUUAUGAAUUGUGAGCUAAACAGAUAGUUGCUGACUUGCUGUUCUGCUGUCCAAACACAUGUCUACUGUCUGAAAAUAGCUCAUUUUGUAGUUACAUUUGCAUCAGGCUUUGAUGAUUGCUGUACAAGGAUGAUAUGGACUCCCGCCCAAAGCUGUUUGGUAUUCAGAAGCAGGUUUUGGCGCUGUACAGGGGAUUCCUUCGGACAGCACGCCUUAAGGCCCCUGAAGAACGCCGCAGGAUCGAGUCUGUUAUCUUGGCAGAGUUCCGUGACAACGCAAGGAGUGUUGACCGUAGGAACUUUGUACACAUAGAGUACUUGUUGAGGAGAGGGAAGAAGCAGCUUGAGCAGCUCAAGAAUCCUGAUAUUACUAGACUCGCUACCCUUGUAGUAAAGAAUGAGCAAGAGAAGAAGGAAGACAAGUCAGACAAAACAGAAGACGAGAAGAGGUUCCUACCAUAACACUUAAGCAAGGAAUCCUGUACACUUCUCUCCUGGGGUUGUGACUUGUAAAUUGUCAAGGAUCACUUGGAUGUGGUAAAUGCUAUACUGGACACUGAUGAUAGCUGCAUAAGGAUUGUGCG